Cyprinus carpio (common carp) is the source of this 153-nucleotide long non-coding RNA. RefSeq lists it as uncharacterized. NCBI's taxonomy places the organism in Eukaryota, Metazoa, Chordata, Actinopteri, Cypriniformes, Cyprinidae. The record is from RefSeq and is a predicted model, not a curated record. The transcript is spliced from 3 exons.
CGUCUCUGUUCUUGACUGGAGGAUCCUCACUGUAAACUGGAGAAACUGGGGUUGAGAGAUUGUGGCGUCACAGAUGAAGGUUGUUCUGCUCUGGCUUCAGCUCUGAGAUCAAACCCCUCACACCUGAGAGAUCUGAGUCUGUCUGAGAAUAAU